CCUACGGGAGGCUGCAGUGGGGAAUAUUGGACAAUGGGCGAAAGCCUGAUCCAGCCAUGCCGCGUGUGUGAAGAAGGCCUUCGGGUUGUAAAGCACUUUCAGUGGGGAAGAAAGCCUUGGGGCUAAUACCCUCGAGGAAGGACAUCACCCACAGAAGAAGCACCGGCUAACUCCGUGCCAGCAGCCGCGGUAAUACGGAGGGUGCGAGCGUUAAUCGGAAUUACUGGGCGUAAAGCGCGCGUAGGCGGUCUGAUAAGCCGGUUGUGAAAGCCCCGGGCUCAACCUGGGAACGGCAUCCGGAACUGUCAGGCUAGAGUGCAGGAGAGGAAGGUAGAAUUCCCGGUGUAGCGGUGAAAUGCGUAGAGAUCGGGAGGAAUACCAGUGGCGAAGGCGGCCUUCUGGACUGACACUGACGCUGAGGUGCGAAAGCGUGGGUAGCAAACAGGAUUAGAUACCCCUGUAGUUC
Molecule: ribosomal RNA, 466 nt
Filed under: Vreelandella stevensii
Lineage: Bacteria; Pseudomonadati; Pseudomonadota; Gammaproteobacteria; Oceanospirillales; Halomonadaceae
Description: partial 16S ribosomal RNA
Rfam family: Bacterial small subunit ribosomal RNA
Source: RNAcentral